RNAcentral lists this small RNA (85 nucleotides) under Flavobacterium weaverense. RNAcentral's name for it is "Flavo-1 RNA". It matches the Rfam family "Flavo-1 RNA". Lineage: Bacteria; Pseudomonadati; Bacteroidota; Flavobacteriia; Flavobacteriales; Flavobacteriaceae. The record is from RNAcentral.
UUUUUGCACAAGGGAUAGUAGUGAAAAUCCUUUUUAUGCGGAGGUACGCAGCAUAAAAAGAUUGAAACGAAUAGCCCGACCACGU